CACUUUUUGUUUUUGUUCUUUUGGUAUCUCUGCCGAUUGCCAGUUGUUGUUUGUGUGGUGGCUCGGUCGCUCGCUGUCUGGCUGAGGGUGGGCGCUCUGCUCGUACGAACCGAGCGCGCCGCUGGCUGACGGUGCACUGAUCGGAUCGUCACAAACGUGGCCAACACGACAGGUAAGCAACGUACACAAAAAGCAGUCAGCAGUACCCAGUCGAAGUCCGACAAACUCCCAACUCUGUAGUGUUCUCUUCAGGGCACUUUGGGGUGUAUGUAUUUACAUAUACACUCAUAUACAAUCUAGAUAUAUUUAAGUGUAUAAAUUCCGCGUUUAGCUUCGGCUUAGCUCGUUCGCCU
Molecule: long non-coding RNA, 353 nt
Filed under: Drosophila guanche
Lineage: Eukaryota; Metazoa; Arthropoda; Insecta; Diptera; Drosophilidae
Source: RNAcentral